UCAGGGAUUGUGAUGUCUCCAGGAGUUCUUUAUUGUACAGGACAGCUUACACAUAUUUAAGUUGUGAUUAUGUUAUAAUUUAUUGCAACCAGAGUUGUUAGGGUCAGAGCCUAGGCCUUGACAUCCCUAACAAUCUAGGAGUGGCCACUCAUUCUCAAAAGUCCCCGUUAGACAGACAAAUGGUGGAAAAAAGAGAAAGGAGAUUUAUUCAAUAUGUCCUCAUUGGGAAGAGCAACAAAGAGGGCCAAUUUAUCUUCAGUACAUGAGAUUUAUGUUUGAAUGAGAGAAAGGUAUGUGCAAGUAGGCAGUCCUGAUCAAGUAUGAGUUCUCCAGCUAAGUGGUCUGACAGUUAACAAAGCUGUGUGGAAAUCUCUUUCCAGCAGACAAGCUCUGCUUCCUGUUUUGACAACAGGUUGCCAAGUAUUUCCUUUUUUCCAGCUUGAGAAAUUUCAGUUUUGUUGGGUCCAUUAUGUCAACAAUCUGAUAGUCACUGGGAGAAGCACAAGUGUCUCUUUAGUUUAUAAUACCUGCCAGGACAUCAGUUUGGAUCGAAUAUUCUGAUUUCUAUUAUGAUUUCAUCCACCCAUGACUUAGAGUUGCAUUUACAAUUGCCAUUUGUUAGUAGGAAUAUUGUUUUUGGUUAUAGUAUAUAAUUUUAUUGCACUGUGUUCCAGGAUUGUGAGAGGAGUAGCAUUUGCUACACUCGUGAAUGGUGGAAGUAAUGAUAACAUGGUUGAAGAAAGAGUUGAGUAAAAAAACUAAUCCUGAACUGCUCUUUCUCUUAGUUUCUUCUGUGAAGACUUAUUACUGUUUACACUGCUCUGGUUUGGAUUUUCUAAGUAAAAGUAAGCAUAACCAGCAAAGAAGUCCAACUGUAGCUGCAAAUUGGGGGAGAAGUACUUGCUUCUUAGAGUUAUGAAGAAUACAUUGACAUUUUAAGCUUCGGCAUAGUGGGGCUGAACGUCCCAACCUAAUUGUGACAUGACCAUUCUGUUGACCAGUCUCCAUCCUGAAGUUAUUAAGAUGCUCCUCAGCCAGAAGAAAGACACUUCAAAGCUCAAGCAGAUUUCAAGGAUUUUUGAAGUUCUCUGCUAGAAACUGAAUAUAGAAACCAGGGAUGUGGUCCUUCCAUAACUGAAUGCCCUGACAGAAGCUCAGAAGACUGACAGUUUAACAGCCCUCUUACAGAAUGGUUGCAUCACUAAAUUCCUAGUUUUCUUGGCUUUUUGUUUCAAUUUGGUUUACCCAGGAACUAAUGUCAGUUCAAAAUUCCUUUUUCAGUCACCAUGUAGAGUUCUUUUUGGGUUUUUGUUUUGUUUUCUUAAGCUUCCCACUUCAUUAUUCAUCUAGAUGAUCUAAUUGGUUAAGAGACUGGAGGAUAUCACCAGACUUGAGAAAUGCAAAGUAUUAUGCACGAAAAGUGAAUCAGAUUAAAAUGACAUAACAAUGGCUGGGCCAUCUAGGAACUAAGGCAGCAGCCUCACCUCACUUUCUGUCCUGGCCUGUGAGACUCCCCUUCCUCAUAAUUGCAUGUUCAAAUCCCUGCACUCCCCUAGAGAAUGCCUUGCAAAUAACUUUGUGUAGAAGCAUUUGUGUCAGCCCCUUCAUUGUAUAGGUAAGGAAGGGUGACUCUAGUGGUAAUCCCAGCACUAGGUAAGCCAAGGCAGGGGGGAUGUUAUGGGUUUGAAGCUAGUCUAGUGCAUAUAAUAAAACAUUGUCGGUGCGGGAAGAAAACACAAGCACACAGUCACAUAUCCUCCCCUCCCCCCAAAAAAAUGCCUUCUACAUUUAUGUUUCUGCAUGUUUCCAAUCUGGGUGGAGAUCCACAAGUUGGCUGAUUGUUUCUGUCCCCACAGAACAUGUUAUACCAUGAAGGUUUAAGUAUAAUGGGAUGGUGAGGUGAGGUGAGGUGUGGAUCCGAAGCUGACUAUGAGUCUAGCAGGGCUUUUCCUUCAGAAUACCUUUUGUUUGUUUGAGCAGGCUACCUAGAUUCGCUUGCGCGAUUAAAUGUGGUUAAAUGUGUAGUCCACAACUAUGGAAGUCUUCUACAUUAUGAAGACAUGUAGAGUCCCUUAUCGUUCAGCAUAUCUGCAAAGAAUUUGGUGAUUUUUUUUUUAAAUUUUAAAUUUAUUUAUUAUGUAUAUAGUGUUCUGAGCACCAAAUCUCAUUACAGCUGGGUGAGAGCCACCAUGUGGUUGCUGGGAAUUGAACUCGGGACCUCCGGAACAGCAGUCAGUUCUCUUAACUUCUGAGCCAUCUCUCCAGCCCGACUUUGGUGAUUUUUUAACAGCUGGUCCUUUAUGCUGUCUGUGUACUUUCUUUUUGGUGCCAGUGUUUUCUAUCUCUUUAUUCGGUGAUGGAGAAACAUUUUUCUUUUUUAAUAAUUUCAGUGAGGUCAAUUUGAAAUACUUUCUUAAUUAAAUUAUGACUGAUGAACUUUUUAAAAUUCAAAACUCCUCAUUAUUACAAAUAUUUCUUUGACCUUAUAAUCACUCUUUAAUAUCUUUAGGAUUGGUCUUGUAUGGGCUGCAGAAAUGCUAAAACUUAUCAGAAUAGUUUUUACAUACUAUUUUUUAACUUACUAAAAUAAUAUGACUUCACUCUUCAUAUGUGAACAUAAGUAUUCCCUUAAAUUCUUCAUCCCACACCUGUGGACGCUUGCUUGCUCAAGUAUCUUCUAAGUCAUUUCUUUUGGGGAGGAUGAUAUUUUUGAGAACAAAGACUAUUGCCCUAUUUUACUUUAUUUUAUUUCCUGUAUAAAUAAAAUAUUUUCAUAUUAUCAUGCUUUCCAAUACCAGUUUUGCUUAUAAAUUGCAUUUCUUUAGAACUUAAUUAAAUGAAAUCAAGCAAAAUAGCUUCUUAAAUUUCUAAAGGUUUUUUAAUCACAUGUAUCAACCACUGCACACAGAUACAUGUCAAAAUAUUGAGCAUUAGAAUUUAUAAUAUGUUAAUAAAAUACAAAAAUAAUUUUUUUAAUUAUAGGAAACUGUAUAUAGUUUACAUUUACUUAUAUUAAAAGUUCUCUUAUUAAUUAUAAGGUCAGUAGGAAAGUAAAGUGAAAUCACAUAUAAGACUUACUUUUUAAAUAAUUUUCAGAUACUGUGCCUAUGUCAGCCAGGAAAAAAUGUUUUAAAAAGUAAUAAAAUGGGGAAAUUGCCUCAUUUCUGAUUGCAUUGUGAUAAAUUGUUCUUAUUCUGCUAUUUAUUUUACCCUUCUGAACGGUUUGCCGUAACCAGACAUGAUAAUCAGAAGCUCUCAGAAUAUUGCCACUGAUAGGACCUUGGAGAAGGCUCGUCAGGUAUCCAGGCUGAACUUGAGUCCUCUUUUAUACCUGACAAUUCUGAAAAUAUUUUCAGUGCACUGCAGUAGCUAGGGCAGUAGUAGCCGCCGGAGCAGUGGGUGGUAGCGAGCCCGCCUACUUACUGUCUGUAGAGAAGGAAGGGGUGAGGAAUCUGGCAGCCUGGGCAGUGUAGUCCUAAUUUGAUUUUACCAAAGUAAGGAAAUAAUACAGUAGUUAACCCUGUUUUAGAAUUUACCCCAUUUCAGUUUUUGAAAGAAUAUAAUAUGUGAAUUAUUAUGCAUUAAGAGUGUGGUGGCUUUGAAUAAAAGAUAAAUAUUUAUUCUACUAACUUUGAGUAGACUUAGGAGUGCAUUAUAAUAUACAAUCUUGAUGGCAUCCAGAAAACUUCCUCUUUUGUGAGAAGGGCAAGCCUAUUCUGUUUAAUAUACAUUCAUAAGUGAUCCCAAACCCUAUUACAUAAUUUGUACUUUGCCCAAUAGUAUGUAAACUUUUAUUAUUACACUUUAGCUAGAUGCUAUAUGACAUUAAACACUUCUGUUUUGCUUUAGUAAAUGUAUAACUCAAUCAUCAACCUUGAAAUAUUUUUAUUUUGUAUGUGUAAUUACAUCAGACAUGUAAGAUUAUUUAUAGACUCUAAAAUAUUUGCUUUACGUUAAAGUAAGUUGGACAGUUUUUGGCCUAAAAUGUCACCUAGAUUAUUCAUUAAACAAAAGUAAAUGACAUGGUCAUGGUCACAAUCGUGUGUUAAUUUGAUAUAACUGUAUUAUAAGGGAAAGUUUCUUCAAAUUCAGAUGUUUAACAUGUUAGCUGAGAAAUAAUGAAUGUAUGAAUUUCUGAAAUUGCCUAAUACAAAUAUAAAAUAUACAGAAUACUUUAUAAGGUAAUGUAUCCUUGAGUUUUAUCCAUAUUGUAUUAUGUAAUAACUUCCUUUGGAUCUGUGAAGUGUUUUUGAGUCAAACAUCUGAAUACUCAUUAAGGAGGGUCAUGAAACCUGUGUUAUAUUUUAUUAUCAAAUAAAUUGCAAGUGAACUUAA
Myodes glareolus (Bank vole) is the source of this 4335-nucleotide non-coding RNA. The record is from RefSeq and is a predicted model, not a curated record. Lineage: Eukaryota; Metazoa; Chordata; Mammalia; Rodentia; Cricetidae.